GACGAACGCUGGCGGCGUGCUUAACACAUGCAAGUCGAACGGAAAGGCCCUGCUUUUGUGGGGUGCUCGAGUGGCGAACGGGUGAGUAACACGUGAGUAACCUGCCCUUGACUUUGGGAUAACUUCAGGAAACUGGGGCUAAUACCGGAUAGGAGCUCCUGCUGCAUGGUGGGGGUUGGAAAGUGUCGGCGGUUGGGGAUGGACUCGCGGCUUAUCAGCUUGUUGGUGGGGUAGUGGCUUACCACGGCUUUGACGGGUAGCCGGCCUGAGAGGGUGACCAGCCACAUUGGGACUGAGAUACGGCGCAGUCUCCUACGGGAGGCAGCAGUGGAGAAUAUGACACAAUGGGCGGACGCGUGAUGCAGCAACGCCGCGAGCGGGAUGACGGCCUUCGAGUUGUGAACCGCUUUCGCCUGUGACGAAGCGUGAGUGACGGUACUGGGUAAAGAAGCACCGGCUAACUACGUG
This 468-nucleotide ribosomal RNA is filed under the name uncultured bacterium. RNAcentral describes it as "partial 16S ribosomal RNA". It matches the Rfam family "Bacterial small subunit ribosomal RNA", at positions 28 to 507 of the family's 1533-position model. The record is from RNAcentral.